UACGUAGGGGGCUAGCGUUGCUCGGAAUCACUGGGCGUAAAGGGUGCGUAGGCGGGUCUUUAAGUCAGGGGUGAAAUCCUGGAGCUCAACUCCAGAACUGCCUUUGAUACUGAAGAUCUUGAGUUCGGGAGAGGUGAGUGGAACUGCGAGUGUAGAGGUGAAAUUCGUAGAUAUUCGCAAGAACACCAGUGGCGAAGGCGAGUCUCUGGACAUUUCCUGACGCUGAGGCACGAAAGCCAGGGGAGCAAACGGG
Molecule: ribosomal RNA, 253 nt
Filed under: uncultured bacterium
Lineage: Bacteria
Description: partial 16S ribosomal RNA
Rfam family: Bacterial small subunit ribosomal RNA
Source: RNAcentral